UUUCCGUAGGUGAACCUGCGGAAGGAUCAUUACCACACCGAUCCAAGAUCUUUCCACAAUGUGAAUUCUGUAUGGAUCCGUGCACGGCAACACCGCAACGGCAUGUUGCUGUUGCUGUUGCUGUGUGCGUGUCUGUAUCAACAACCAACAAACCAAAACAACCAAAGAGUGUUUCUUCUUUUUCAUGAGAAAAACUAUGGGUAACCUGAAUGGAACCAAAGGACCUGAAGAACAAAUGGGUGGUGGUGGUCACGAACCGUCACAUCCAUACAAAAACCAAAUACAUACCAUUUACAACUUUCAGCGGUGGAUGUCUAGGUUCCC
Molecule: unclassified non-coding RNA, 324 nt
Filed under: soil metagenome
Description: partial contains small subunit ribosomal RNA, internal transcribed spacer 1, and 5.8S ribosomal RNA
Source: RNAcentral